Molecule: long non-coding RNA, 403 nt
Filed under: Homo sapiens (human)
Lineage: Eukaryota; Metazoa; Chordata; Mammalia; Primates; Hominidae
Description: non-protein coding lnc-HSDL2-3:1
Source: RNAcentral
AUGGCCACCAUCAGACCCCUCAUGAAGCCCAAGAUCAUCAAAAAGAGGAGCAAGAAGUUCAUUCACCACCAGUCAGAACAAUAUGUCAAAAUUAAGCAUAACCGGUGGAAACCCAGAGACAACUGCGUUCAUAGAAGAUUCAAGGGCCAGAUCUUGAUGCCCAACAUUGGUUAUAGAGAAGCAAUGAAAACACAAAGCACAUGCUGCCCAGCGGCUUCUGGAAGUUUCUGGUACGCAUUGUCAAGGACUUGGAAGGGCUGCUGACAUGCAGAAAAUCUUACUGUCCUGAGAUAGCUCACAAUGUGUCCUCUGGAACUGCAAAGCCAUCAUGGAAAGGGCAGCCCAGCUGGCCAUCAGAGUCACCAGUCGCAAUGCCAGGCAGCACAGCAAAGAAAGGGAAUAG